RNAcentral lists this unclassified non-coding RNA (184 nucleotides) under rhizosphere metagenome. RNAcentral's name for it is "partial ribosomal RNA internal transcribed spacer region". The record is from RNAcentral.
GAGUAUCAUGCCCUUCGGGGUAGAUCUCCACCCUUGAAUAACAUACCUUUGUUGCUUUGGCAGGACGCACUCGUGCCAGGGGCUUCGGCUCUUGAGUGCCUGCCAGAGGACCACAACUCUUGUUUUGUACAGUCUGAGAAAAAUAAAAAUAUUUAAAACUUUCAACAACGGAUCUCUUGGUUCC